RNAcentral lists this ribosomal RNA (253 nucleotides) under uncultured bacterium. Its description in RNAcentral is "partial 16S ribosomal RNA". It matches the Rfam family "Bacterial small subunit ribosomal RNA", at positions 524 to 776 of the family's 1533-position model. The record is from RNAcentral.
UACGUAGGGUCCGAGCGUUGUCCGGAAUUACUGGGCGUAAAGAGCUCGUAGGUGGUUUGUCGCGUUGUUCGUGAAAACUCACAGCUUAACUGUGGGCGUGCGGGCGAUACGGGCAGACUGGAGUACUGCAGGGGAGACUGGAAUUCCUGGUGUAGCGGUGGAAUGCGCAGAUAUCAGGAGGAACACCGGUGGCGAAGGCGGGUCUCUGGGCAGUAACUGACGCUGAGGAGCGAAAGCGUGGGGAGCGAACGGG